Molecule: long non-coding RNA, 2324 nt
Filed under: Macaca fascicularis (crab-eating macaque)
Lineage: Eukaryota; Metazoa; Chordata; Mammalia; Primates; Cercopithecidae
Description: lncRNA (ENSMFAG00000058631.1)
Source: RNAcentral
UUUUUUUUUUUUGCCAGAGUGGGGGGAUCAGACACCCCCACUAGACUCAGAGUUCUCACUUUUCCUCUUUACCAGGGUCUGGUGCAAGUUUGUAAGUGUUUAACAAAUAUGGAAAGCAAGCAAUGCAAAAGUCAGGGUUCCAAGACAAGGUAGUUCAGCAUUGCUAGUUUCUUAAUAAGAUAAUAAGGAAGAUGAUGAUGAUGAUGAUGACCACCUGUGGUAAUGAUAAUGGUGAUGAUAAUAAUUACCAUUUAUUGAGCAUUGCACCUUUAAGGGCUUUACAAACAUUUUCUCAUUAGAUCAUCAGAACCACCACCUCAAGUGGCUACGUUAAACCAUGCUCCUCAGGCUCAGAGAUUUCAGGCAACUCAUCCACUCAUACAGCUAUAAGUGCCAGUCACAGGAUAUUCACUCCAAAGUCCAUGCUUUUAUCCAUCACGUGAACAGCCCCCAAGCCUUUCUACUUCUUCAUUUUCCUGAAUGAAGCCCCCUAUCCUGACAUGCCAUUCUUGACUCUGCCUUUGCUUGAACUCUAUUGGAGCAAGGAAAUAGGGCUAAACAUUUUCCCGUCUCACCUCUUUAUGCCAGGCCUGGCCCCUGAUAUACCAUGUGGCUUCAUGCCAGGCUGAGCACAGAAACAUCUUCUCAGAAUCACUUUGGGGCCUGAGAAAUAUGGUGGUACUGAAUCAUGGAGUUCAUAUCCAAAAGUUCAGAAGGAACAAAGCCUGAUUCCAACUUCAGAACUUCCAAGUCAAAUCCCCAAAAUAUCCAAUGCUUCCUUAAGACCCAGAAGCAACCUAGACCAUCAUUUGAGCAUACAGGCUUUAAAGCCAAAUCCACCUGGGUCAUAAUUCUGACUCUUUCAUAGUCUGGGUGACUUUUGGCAAAUUGCAUCAACUGGGGAACGUUUACCUCAGAAAAAUGAUGAGAGAAUGAAGUGAAUUAGCAUUGACUAUAGUAAACUAAUGGUAUCUUGCAUAUAGCAAUUAUGACAACAGUAGUAGCUAUAUUUAUUAUUAUCAAAAUCUCAUCUUUUCAGAUGACUGAAAGCUAAAAAUCUUCUGGAGGUCUUACAGGGAAAUGGGGGAAAUAUAAAGAACCCCAUUACUCCACACCUCUACUACCUAUUGUUCCCCAUACACACAUGUAUAUGUCUCCAUCUUUUGACAGGCACGCCUCCUUCUCCAGAAAGCCUUUGGACCCUCCUUCCCCCAGUGGUGUUAAGAGUUGCCUGAUUCACGAAAUAAAAAUAUGGAACACCCAGUGAAAUUUGAACUUCAGAUAAACAGCAAAUACCUUUUACAGUAUAAAUAUGUCCCAGGCAAUACUUUGAACAUACUUAUACUAAAAAAGCAUGUUUUGUUUAUCUGAAAUUCAAAUUUAACUAGGCAUUUUAUCCGCAGUCCUAGUUAUACAUUCCUCUGCAGUGUGUCGCAACUCUCCCGUGCAGUAUUUUUCUUUCUAUGUUAUAAUUGGCCUACAUCAGGAGCUGAUACCUGUCACAUCUGAGUUAAUGUGUAACUUUAAGAUCCUCUGAUAUUAAAGAAUUAAUGUUAAUUUUGUAAAGAAUAAUAUUAUUGAGAUGAAUUUUAAGAGCUCAUAUAUUUUAGGAUACAUACUGAAAUAUUUGGGGAAGGGAUGACAUAGUGUCUGGGAUUUGCUUCAAAAUAAUAAAGGUGCAGAGAAGUGGAUGAAGAUAGAAAUUAAACAAAAUUCUCCAUGAGUUGGUAAUUACUGAAGCUGAGUGUAAUUACUAAGUACCUGAAGUUCACCAUAGCCUUUUGAUUAUUUUGUAUUUUGAAAUUUUCCAUCAUACAUAUGUCUGCUGAGAGAAGUGGGCUCUGAGCAUGCACACACGCACAUACAUACAAGACAGGACAGUUAACUGAAUGAGCAUUGCACAUGAAUCAAGCAAUCCAUGGUUUGAUCAUAAUGAGUUCCUUAAAUAGCUCUGGAACAUUGAGCAAACCACUUUCUCUUUCUAGACCUUAGUUUCCUUAUCUGUUUAAAAUGGAAAAAUUGGAUUAAGUGAUUUCUGCUAAAAUCUCUGAACUUCAGAUAACCACACUGGAAUGCCCUUGACCUUUUCUAGGUUAAAUUUUCUGUGCAUUGCCUCAAGCCUCCCCUGCCCAUCAGCUGCAGAUCAAAACAGACUGCUCUUAGCAUCUGCCUCACACUUCAACAAAAAGGGGCCAUAAUGGGGUUCUGUGGAGAACUUUAGUGGAGAGUGACCCAAAGCCCUCCAUCACCAAGCAGCUGCUCUUUCCUUCUGCCACCUGCUGAAAGGUCACUUCAGUGUACAGCCUACCUCAAGAAGGCCUUCC